GACGAACGCUGGCGGCGUGCUUAACACAUGCAAGUCGAGCGGUAAGGCCCUUUGGGGGUACACGAGCGGCGAACGGGUGAGUAACACGUGAGUAAUCUGCCUUUGGUCUUGGGAAUAACUUCGGGAAAUCGGGGCUAAUGCCUGAUGUUUACUGUCUGCUGCAUGGUGGGUGGUGGAAAGAUUUUUGGUCCAGGGAUGAGCUCGCGGUCUAUCAGCUUGUUGGUGGGGUAAGUGGCUUACC
This 241-nucleotide ribosomal RNA is filed under the name uncultured bacterium. RNAcentral's name for it is "partial 16S ribosomal RNA". It matches the Rfam family "Bacterial small subunit ribosomal RNA", at positions 28 to 269 of the family's 1533-position model. The record is from RNAcentral.